This 216-nucleotide ribosomal RNA is filed under the name Glomeromycotina sp. Its description in RNAcentral is "partial small subunit ribosomal RNA". The stretch from base 40 to 216 matches the Rfam family "Eukaryotic small subunit ribosomal RNA", at positions 686 to 864 of the family's 1831-position model. Lineage: Eukaryota; Fungi; Glomeromycota. The record is from RNAcentral.
GGGUCAGUAGGUUGGUCGUGCCACCGGUACGUACUGGUCUCACUGAUUCCUCCUUCCUGAAGAACCGUAAUGACAUUAAUUUGGUGUUGCGGGGAAACAGGACUGUUACUUUGAAAAAAUUAGAGUGUUUAAAGCAAGCUAACGCUUGAAUACAUUAGCAUGGAAUAAUGAAAUAGGACGAUGGAGCCUAUUUUGUUGGUUUCUAGGAUUGACGUA